Molecule: long non-coding RNA, 1938 nt
Organism: Ornithodoros turicata
Lineage: Eukaryota; Metazoa; Arthropoda; Arachnida; Ixodida; Argasidae
Exons: 2
Source: RefSeq, a predicted model, not a curated record
UACUGAUAAGCAGUCUACAACACUGUUGUAGUACGGGCUACGCCCACAAUGUAUAAAAAGCCGAACAAUAAACGAACGAGGCAUUCCAGGCAGCUACGCUGAUAACGUACGGUAGCGGUUAUUACACGGUGUCAGAAGAGGGAUUUGUUGCAGCAUGGGUACUCUCCGGCCGCCUGACGGGCUGGUGCUUUCUGGCAACCUUCAAGCAAAGACUGGAGCUGUACCUGGAAGCAACCGAGACUGGCAGGCCUACAGGACAGCGGAAAAGCUGUAAUACUCCUGCACGUCGCCUGCCGGAAGCCGUCGAAGUCUACAAUACCUUUACGUCGUCCAACGAGUACAGAGGUAACUACGACGUCCUGGCGAAGAAAUUUGGGGAAUACUGCACACCGAAGUGCAAUGAGACGUAUCAGUGCUACAUUUUCGAGUCAAGGAUGCAAGCUGAAGGACUGCUAAAUUAUAGGUCGGCUCUCCUUGAAGACUGACAAUCUUCGAUUGAGAUAUUGAUGGGUCACGCCUACCCGACUACAGUGGAGAUCGCCAAGUCCAUGUCAAGAACCAGGAGCAAAAGGGUUCUCCGCUCCUGCCACUAGCAAAGGGAGAUGUGGUGCGAGUUCUACGAGACUCUUCCUGUGGGUCACUAAAGCGAGGGUUCUAAUCUGCGUAGCACCAACAUCCUACCCGGUCGUCUCCGAAGAUGAUCGUGAGAUGCGCCGUAACCGUAAACCCAAGGCACUCAAAGCUCUCUCCACGCUUCCUACGACAGACCACCAACAGGACUCAAAGACAACAUCGAAGACGAAGAGCACCUCGGACGUUCUACUUCUCAAGCGCCACAGCUCUGACGGUCGACAAGGACAAGACGGACACCGGAUCGACUUGCAUACACUUGCAUGUGAUGAAGCGAACUUUUAACGUUAGGUUACCUGUAUGUACUUUGUUCACGUUAUGAACUGCGUUAAUUUGUAAUUCGUAUAUAUACUUAGACUUUUUUGAAACAAAAAGGGGGAAGGGAGAUGUAUUGGUAUGCGCUGAUACGCAGCGGGCUGAUACGGCCUAAAACACUGUUGUACGGGCUACGCUCACAAUGUAUAAAAAGCCGAACGGCAUUCCGGGCUUCUUCCAGGCAGCUACGCUGAUAACGUACGGUAAACAGUUAUUACAGCUGCCAUGCGCAAGGCGGUAAGUUGCAGCAAAAUGAACAGAAAACGUGUGUGCGUUCAUGUGAGAACAUUCUCAAUGGCCUGUAAAGCUACCUCCUCUGCAUUGUAACGCAACAUGCGGUGAAGCUAGCCGCAUGAGACAGCACUGUGCGACUCGUUCGCACACUGCAGAAUAAAUUACAUUUCAGACAUCAAGAUGGAGACGCACCAUGCGUCAAUAUCAGUACAUAAAUCGCUAAUCAAUCACUAUCUGAAAAGGUAAUACCGCGUGUCAUAACUUCGUAUCGAAUGCAUCGUGCAUGCAGCGUGGAAUACUUAACACAGAACCAGCUCUAACAAUAGCUUCGCAACAGAUGACCCACUUGAAAUCACGAAAGACACAUGGCAGAGGAGAAACAAUUCUAGGUAUCACUGCAUACACAACAUUGUUGGCAGCCCAGCAACACUUCCGCCAGGGUGACUGCGCGUUCCUUUCUCCGACCCAGAUUACAAAGAGGGAGACUACAACUCAGUGUUUCCACAACCCCUAAAUUCCACGAAGCCUUUCCACUAUAAACACAUCCAGCCGGCAGACGAUAAAUCAGUCCAAUUCUGCCAAACGGCAGACACCGAGCGCCGUGAUGCUGGCGCCAUCUAGACGACACGUUGGGAACCCCCAGAGCCGCCGCCGACGCAUUCCACCACCUUCUAUCGCACCGAAAGCGGGCUCACCUCACAACCGCAAUGCCGAGAAGAGGACAAACGAGAGAAAGAGAAUAAAGAAAAGCUCACAUCA